UAAGAUGGCUGAAUGCUAAGCGGUGGGUUGUAGCUCCAUAAAUAGAGGUUUGAAUCCUCUUCUUAU
This 66-nucleotide transfer RNA is filed under the name Jenynsia lineata (onesided livebearer). RNAcentral describes it as "tRNA-Tyr". It matches the Rfam family "tRNA". Rfam says of the family: Transfer RNA (tRNA) molecules are approximately 80 nucleotides in length. Their secondary structure includes four short double-helical elements and three loops (D, anti-codon, and T loops). Lineage: Eukaryota; Metazoa; Chordata; Actinopteri; Cyprinodontiformes; Anablepidae. RNAcentral also lists the same sequence under 1 other name. The record is from RNAcentral.